GAUGAACGCUGGCGGCGUGCCUAAUACAUGCAAGUCGAGCGAACAGAUGAGGAGCUUGCUCCUCUGACGUUAGCGGCGGACGGGUGAGUAACACGUGGAUAACCUACCUAUAAGACUGGGAUAACUUCGGGAAACCGGAGCUAAUACCGGAUAAUAUAUUGAACCGCAUGGUUCAAUAGUGAAAGACGGUUUUGCUGUCACUUAUAGAUGGAUCCGCGCCGCAUUAGCUAGUUGGUAAGGUAACGGCUUACCAAGGCAACGAUGCGUAGCCGACCUGAAAGGGUGAUCGGCCACACUGGAACUGAGACACGGUCCAGACUCCUACGGGAGGCAGCAGUAGGGAAUCUUCCGCAAUGGGCGAAAGCCUGACGGAGCAACGCCGCGUGAGUGAUGAAGGUCUUCGGAUCGUAAAACUCUGUUAUUAGGGAAGAACAAAUGUGUAAGUAACUAUGCACGUCUUGACGGUACCUAAUCAGAAAGCCACGGCUAACUCCGUG
This 497-nucleotide ribosomal RNA is filed under the name uncultured bacterium. RNAcentral describes it as "partial 16S ribosomal RNA". It matches the Rfam family "Bacterial small subunit ribosomal RNA", at positions 28 to 507 of the family's 1533-position model. The record is from RNAcentral.